This is a long non-coding RNA of Mobula hypostoma (lesser devil ray), 371 nucleotides long. RefSeq lists it as uncharacterized. The record is from RefSeq and is a predicted model, not a curated record. The transcript has 3 exons. NCBI's taxonomy places the organism in Eukaryota, Metazoa, Chordata, Chondrichthyes, Myliobatiformes, Myliobatidae.
GUAAGGCCUUGGAAAUGGGUUCUUCCCAGAGUGUGCUGGGCAUGGUGAGGAAAGAUUUCCACGAGUGAAGAAAUCAACACUGGGCAGCGUGGCUUAUACCAAGAUCCUCACCAUCCAAGUAGAUCUUUUCCCCUGUGGAACUCAGCAGCUGCCAGCAGUACAGCUGAGUGGAGAAAUCAGACCGCAGUGGAAGGAAUGAUGAGCUUCCCAAGAGGCAUCUGAAUCGGUGGAGAAUCCCUCAGUCUUCAGAGAUCUUGAUUAGAGAGAGGCUCCAACCUGUAACAGGCCAGGCGACCCAACCACUUCGUGGUGAGUCCAUCCUGUCUGCCAGCAAAUUGGUCCAAUCACAAUCGCCCAAGAUCGUAGAAUGU